Molecule: ribosomal RNA, 815 nt
Filed under: uncultured bacterium
Lineage: Bacteria
Description: bacterial SSU rRNA
Rfam family: Bacterial small subunit ribosomal RNA
Source: RNAcentral
AGAGUUUGAUCCUGGCUCAGAAUGAACGCUGGCGGCGUGCUUAACACAUGCAAGUCGUACGAGAAAUCCUUAGCUUGCUAGGGAGAGUAAAGUGGCGCACGGGUGAGUAUCGCGUGGGUAAUCUGCCCUUGAAUUCAGGAUAACAUUUCGAAAGGGGUGCUAAUACUGGAUAAUAUCCUUUUGGUUACGGCCAAAAGGAUCAAAGAUAGCCUCUACAUGUAAGCUAUUGUUUAGGGAUGAGCCCGCGUACCAUUAGCUAGUUGGUGAGGUAAUGGCUCACCAAGGCGACGAUCCGUAACUGGUCUGAGAGGAUGAUCAGUCACACUGGAACUGAGACACGGUCCAGACUCCUACGGGAGGCAGCAGUGGGGAAUAUUGGACAAUGGGCGAAAGCCUGAUCCAGCCACGCCGCGUGUGUGAAGAAGGUCUUCGGAUUGUAAAGCACUUUAAGUUGGGAGGAAGGGUAGUAACUUAAUACGUUGCUACUUUGACGUUACCGACAGAAUAAGCACCGGCUAACUUCGUGCCAGCAGCCGCGGUAAUACGAAGGGUGCAAGCGUUAAUCGGAAUUACUGGGCGUAAAGCGCGCGUAGGUGGUUCAGUAAGUUGGAAGUGAAAUCCCCGGGCUCAACCUGGGAACUGCUUUCAAAACUGCUGAGCUAGAGUACGGUAGAGGGUGGUGGAAUUUCCUGUGUAGCGGUGAAAUGCGUAGAUAUAGGAAGGAACACCAGUGGCGAAGGCGACCACCUGGACUGAUACUGACACUGAGGUGCGAAAGCGUGGGGAGCAAACAGGAUUAGAUACCCUGGUAGUCC